AAAAGAUUUUCAGAUUUCAAAGUGGGCCGCGGCAUUCUUCAGUUUGGGAACCGCUGUGCUAAGCAAAAUGCAGCUCUGGCGUGGAAAGAACCCUAACCCUAAACAUAAAGACGGGGAAAAACAACAAACAUAAACAUAAAGACGAUAAACAUAAACAUAAAGACGGGAAGACGUAAAAACGAAAAAAAUAAACAUAAAGACGCGAAAAACGACAAACAUAAACACUGGAAGACGACAAACAUGAACAGAAAGACGGGAAAAACAACAAACAUAAACAUAAAGACGCGAAAAACGACAAAUAUAAAGACGCGAAAAACGAAAAACAUAAAGACGAGUAAAACGACAAACAUAAACGUAAAGACGCGAAAAACGACAAACAUAAAGACGGGAAGACGACAAACAUGAACAUAAAGACGGGAAAAACAACAAACAUAAACAUAACGACGCGAAAAACGACAAACAUAAACAUAACGACGCGAAAAACGACAAACAAAGACAGGAAAAUUGACAACCAUAAACAUAAAGACGGGAAGACGACAAACAUAAACAUAAAGACGGGAAGACGGAAAAACGACAAACAUAAACAUAAAGACGGGAAAAACGACAAACAUAAACAUAAAGACGGGAAAAACGACAAACAUAGACGCAAAAACGACAAACAUAAAGACGGGAAGACGGGAAAACGACAAACAUAAACAUAAACAUAAAGACGGGAAGACGUAAAAACGACAAACAUAAACAUAAAGACGGGAAAAUCGACAAACAUAAACAUGAAGACGGGAAGACGACAAACUUAAACAUAAAGACGGGAAAAACAACAAACAUAAACAUAAAGACGGGAAGAUGUAAAAACGACAAACAUAAACAUAAAGACGCGAAAAACGACAGACAUAAAGACGCGAAAAACGACAAACAUAAAGACGGGAAAAACGACAAACAAAGAUAAAGACG
This is a long non-coding RNA of Gasterosteus aculeatus aculeatus (three-spined stickleback), 951 nucleotides long. Lineage: Eukaryota; Metazoa; Chordata; Actinopteri; Perciformes; Gasterosteidae. The record is from Ensembl.